Salmo salar (Atlantic salmon) is the source of this 73-nucleotide non-coding RNA. The record is from Rfam. NCBI's taxonomy places the organism in Eukaryota, Metazoa, Chordata, Actinopteri, Salmoniformes, Salmonidae.
CUCCCUGUGGGUCAGUUGGUAGAGCAUGGUGUUUGCAACGCCAGGGUUGUGGGUUCGAUUCCCAUGGGGGGCA